UACAGAGGUCUCAAGCGUUGUUCGGAUUCAUUGGGCGUAAAGGGUGCGUAGGUGGCGCCGUAAGUCAGGUGUGAAAUCUCGGGGCUCAACCCCGAAACUGCACUUGAUACUGCGGUGCUCGAGUACUGGAGAGGAGAUUGGAAUUUACGGUGUAGCAGUGAAAUGCGUAGAUAUCGUAAGGAAGACCAGUGGCGAAGGCGAAUCUCUGGACAGUUCCUGACACUGAGGCACGAAGGCCAGGGGAGCAAACGGG
This 253-nucleotide ribosomal RNA is filed under the name uncultured bacterium. RNAcentral's name for it is "partial 16S ribosomal RNA". It matches the Rfam family "Bacterial small subunit ribosomal RNA", at positions 524 to 776 of the family's 1533-position model. The record is from RNAcentral.